RNAcentral lists this ribosomal RNA (619 nucleotides) under uncultured bacterium. RNAcentral describes it as "bacterial SSU rRNA". It matches the Rfam family "Bacterial small subunit ribosomal RNA", at positions 559 to 1192 of the family's 1533-position model. The record is from RNAcentral.
CGUAAGAGUUGCGUAGGUGGCAUAGCAAGCAGAUAGUGAAAGCCUGGGGCUCAACCCCUUACACAUUAUCUGAACUGCUAAGCUAGAGGACGAGAGAGGUUACUGGAAUUCCCAGUGUAGGAGUGAAAUCCGUAGAUAUUGGGAGGAACACCGAUGGCGUAGGCAGGUAACUGGCUCGUUCCUGACACUAAGGCACGAAAGCGUGGGGAGCGAACGGGAUUAGAUACCCCGGUAGUCCACGCCGUAAACUAUGGAUGCUAGCUGUUAGAAGUAUCGACCCUUCUAGUAGCGAAGCUAACGCGUUAAGCAUCCCGCCUGUGGAGUACGAGCGCAAGCUUAAAACAUAAAGGAAUUGACGGGGACCCGCACAAGCGGUGGAGCGUGUUGUUUAAUUCGACGAUAAGCGAAGAACCUUACCAAGGCUUGACAUCUCGGGAAGAUAUCCGAAAGGAUAUUGUGCCUUCGGGAACCCGAUGACAGGUGUUGCAUGGCCGUCGUCAGCUCGUGUCGUGAGAUGUUUGGUUAAGUCCAUCAACGAGCGCAACCCUUAUAGUCAGUUGAAUUUCUCUGGCUAGACUGCCCCGGCAACGGGGAGGAAGGAGGGGAUGAUGUCAGGUCA